UGGGGAAUUUUGGACAAUGGGCGAAAGCCUGAUCCAGCAAUGCCGCGUGUGUGAAGAAGGCCUUCGGGUUGUAAAGCACUUUUGUCCGGAAAGAAAUCCUUGGCUCUAAUACAGUCGGGGGGAUGACGGUACCGGAAGAAUAAGCACCGGCUAACUACGUGCCAGCAGCCGCGGUAAUACGUAGGGUGCAAGCGUUAAUCGGAAUUACUGGGCGUAAAGCGUGCGCAGGCGGUUUGCUAAGACCGAUGUGAAAUCCCCGGGCUCAGCCUGGGAACUGCAUUGGUGACUGGCAGGCUAGAGUAUGGCAGAGGGGGGUAGAAUUCCACGUGUAGCAGUGAAAUGCGUAGAGAUGUGGAGGAAUACCGAUGGCGAAGGCAGCCCCCUGGGCCAAUACUGACGCUCAUGCACGAAAGCGUGGGGAGCAAAUAGGAUUAGAUACCCUGGUAGUCCACGCCCUAAACGAUGUCAACUAGUUGUUGGGGAUUCAUUUUCCUUAGUAACGUAGCUAACGCGUGAAGUUGACCGCCUGGGGGAGUACGGUCGCAAGAUU
This 550-nucleotide ribosomal RNA is filed under the name uncultured bacterium. Its description in RNAcentral is "partial 16S ribosomal RNA". It matches the Rfam family "Bacterial small subunit ribosomal RNA", at positions 355 to 895 of the family's 1533-position model. The record is from RNAcentral.